AUGGCACUUGGCGCUUCUGUAGCACCCACUGCUGUGGUGAUCAGCAGAUGCAGUAGCCCUCGUGCACAGGGAAUACAACGGCAGCCGGUGACAAUUAACACGGUCUCUGCAUUUAUUCCCGCGACGGGCACUUACUGGAUCAUGCCUUUCCACCUCCCAAACAUAUUCUCCAUCCAUCCUGUGAAAGGGUCAUUAAUGCCGGAGUUCUCUGCCAAUUCUUACCUGAGGGAUUGUAAUCAUGCCAGCGCCCUGGCCACCAACCCAACCGGAGCUGUGUUAUUGGGGAUAAAAGUACAACAUGUUGUGCCUAUCAUCGCAUUUACCCCUCCUUGCUCUGUCAAUAACAUUUCCAUAUCUAUAUAUAUUCCUUUUAACUUUAUCUGGCAAAAUGAACGAAGUGUUGCUGAUUAUGAUACAUGUAAUUUAUCCAAACUAUAUAUAUACAUAUUUUUAUAUGGUGGACAACCAAAACAGAACCGAUUCAAAUCCUGCCGUUAUUUGAUUUCCUCAUGUGACUGUUACUCCUUGCUCGGCGGACGUAGUUUAUAGGCUCCGGGUGUGUCUGCAUCUGGUUCUGGAACUUUUGUUUCUAUUGUAGAAAUACAAACUCAUGUACAGCAGUUAGUUGUUCAAAAACAUAUUUCCUAUAAUUCUAUUUUGAAUUGUUCUAAUGGAAGUCCAUUAUGGGACCCUAGAAAUGUAAGUGUAAGCAUGAAUCUAACCGUAAGCAUUACGUGCAAAGUUAGCUGUGUCAGAGUGAUACACGGUACUCAUCUUGCUUCUGGAAACAGUGGACCUGAAAAUUGUAUGCGUUUCAAAUAUGUUUGUAUUAUAAUUGAUAAUGCCUCAUUUGUAUUCCUUCAUCUAACCAAUUCUAUUUAGUGCUUGUACAGAUUUUAAAUUUUUGUUUUGAGUGUCCCAUUCCUUAUUCUGAGCUGGUAUCAACCUUCAACCUUGAUUUAAUAUUCACACUACAGUGCGAGUGUGUGUGUGUGUGUGUGCGCCCCGUCCUGGGGUGUGCGUCACGCUUGGCUUGAAAACACCCAAUUUACCGCAGCUCCUAUCUUUCUAUCAGAGACAGGGGCAGUUCCUGUGAGGUCUUGGAGGCUGUGAUAGGCUAUCACAGAGAGGGGCGGUACCUGUGAGGUCUUGGAGGCCUUGAUUGGCUAUCACAGAGAGGGGCGGUACCUGUGAGGUCUUGGAGGCCUUGAUUGGCUAUCACAGAGAGGGGCGGUUCCUGUGAGGUCUUGUGGGCUGUGAUUGGCUAGUACAGAGUGGGGCGGUUCCUGUGAGGUCUUGUGGGCUGUGAUUGGCUAUCAGAGAGAGGGGCGGUACCUGUGAGGUCUUGGAGGCCUUGAUUGGCUAUCACGGAGAGGGGCGGUUCCUGUGAGGUCUCGUGGGCUGUGAUUGGCUAUCACAGAGAGGGGCGUCUCCUGUGAGGUCUCAAGGGCUGUGAUUGGCUAUCACAGCGAGGGGAGGUUCCUGUAAGCCUGGGGCCGCUAGAGUUAGAAUGACCGACAUUUUUAAAUAGAUUUCAUUGUUGUCUCAACAUCUUAGUUCAAAAGGCAGAUACAGUGAUGUGUAUUCUUAAUCUCUCUUCUGCUCUACUUUUUGACUCAAGUUCAAUGAGUGUGUGUGUGUGUGUGUGUGUGUGUGUGUGUGUGUGUGUGUGUGUGUGAUGCGAGCGAAUGUAAUUUCAAAGUAACAAACAAACAAACUCAAAGCCGAUGCAUGCAUCCAAAACUUUCUGUUCAAAACCAAAUAAACAAAUCAAAAACAGAGUCGUUAUUCGCUUCAAAUACUUUUUCUUUUCAAAACUUGGGAAUUAAUACAGCGCGGUACCGAGCGGUAGAAAACAAUGUUGGCGUCUCCUGUGGCUGCCUUGCGCACCUGCGUUAUAUUACUUAAUAUGACUUUGGCAGUAAUGCUGCGCCAUGAUGCGUGCCUGCCUGCUUUCAGCGAGUAAUUAAUAUUAUUUGAAAUUAUUUUUAUUUGUUGAAAAGAUAUUUAUCAGUCACAGCACUCACAGCAGCCUCUUCGUGUAAGUCGAGUAAUUUAAUGCCAACCGUAAAUCUUGCAUAUCAAGUAGGCUAGCAAACACCGUUGUCAUUCAACUCAGCGUCUGCUGACUUUCUGCUUAAUGUGAAACUCAUAACAAGUCGUCAUGUAUGCAAGCGUGUGCGGUUUCGUUUUUUUAAGUACUGGUCAGGGAAACGUUUAGCACCGGAACCGUUCGAAAAGUACAGAGUAGGCACCGGUAUCGGAUAAAACCCAAACGAUACCCAACCCUAGUUGUGACACUCAUCUGUUUCAGCUGGGCAGGAGUCAGAGACCACUCAUUCCAUGCUAAACUGGUUUAGACACAUGCAUGCCUUAUUUUAUAUAAAUUAAUAGAGGUUUACUUUGAGAGUGAAUUAUUACUUGAAUUGAAAUGCAAAGUGUCCAAAGUAACACGACGUGGAGGCACGUCUCUCUGUACGGAAACAAAGAACAAGACUUUAUGAUUUAAUAGUCAGAUUCAGAAAAUUAUAAUGUGAGUCCACCAGGUUUACUGUAGUCCUCAUUAUAAGGUGAGUCCACCACCAGGUUUACUGUAGUCCUCAUUAUAAGGUGAGUCGACCAGGUUUACUGUAGUCCUCAUUAUAAGGUGGGUCCACCAGGUUUACUGUAGUCCUCAUUAUAAGGUGAGCCCACCAGCAGGUUUACUGUUGUCCUCAUUAUAAGGUGAGCCCACCAGGUUUACGGUAGUCCUCAUUAUAAGGUGAGUCCACCACCAGGUUUACUGUAGUCCUCAUUAUAAGGUGAGUCCACCAGGUUUACUGUAGUCCUCAUUAUAAGGUGAGGCCACCAGGUUUACUGUAGUCCUCAUUAUAAGGUGAGUCCACCAGGUUUACUGUAGUCCUCAUUAUAAGGUGAGUCCACCAGGUUUACUGUAGUCCUCAUUAUAAGGUGAGUCCACCAGGUUUACUGUAGUCCUCAUUAUAAGGUGAGUCCACCAGGUUUACUGUAGUCCUCAUUAUAAGGUGAGUCCACCAGAGCAACCAUUGUACUCACUUAUUGUAUCUUGUACGUACUGGCACUUAAUGUGCACACUAUUUUUGUGUUGAGCUUCCGGGCAAUUU
This is a long non-coding RNA of Gadus macrocephalus (Pacific cod), 3122 nucleotides long. RefSeq lists it as uncharacterized. NCBI's taxonomy places the organism in Eukaryota, Metazoa, Chordata, Actinopteri, Gadiformes, Gadidae. The record is from RefSeq and is a predicted model, not a curated record. The transcript is spliced from 4 exons.